AACAUAACCUUUAGCCAAACAAAUAUUAAAGGCAACGCCUGCCCAGUGAACAAUUAAACGGCCGCGGUACCCUAACCGUGCAAAGGUAGCGUAAUCAUUUGUCUAUUAAUUGUAGACCAGUAUGAAAGGCAUAAUGAGGGCCUAUCUGUCUCUUAUAAUAAAUCAAUUAAACUGAUCUUCUAGUAAAAAAGCUAGAAUACCCACACAAGACCAGAAGACCCUGUGAAGCUUAAACUAAACUAUUAAACCCUGUAAUACUUACUUUCGGUUGGGGCGACCUUGGAAAAUAAAAGAACUUCCAAAUAUAUGACUAUAACUCACACAAGGCCCACAAGCCUCGCAUGACCCAGUAUAACUGAUAAUUGAACCAAGUUACUCCAGGGAUAACAGCGCCAUCUUCUUCAAGAGUCCAUAUCAAAAAGAAGGUUUACGACCUCGAUGUUGGAUCAGGACAUCCUAAUGGUGCAGCCGCUAUUAAGGGUUCGUUUGUUCAACGAUUAAUAGUCCUACGUGAUCU
Molecule: ribosomal RNA, 517 nt
Filed under: Atractus duboisi
Lineage: Eukaryota; Metazoa; Chordata; Lepidosauria; Squamata; Dipsadidae
Description: partial 16S ribosomal RNA
Rfam family: Bacterial large subunit ribosomal RNA
Source: RNAcentral